GGAUUAGAUACCCUGGUAGUCCACGCCGUAAACGAUGAGUACUAGUUCUUAGAGGUAUUGACCCCUUUAGGGACGCAGCUAACGCAUUAAGUACUCCGCCUGGGAAGUACGGCCGCAAGGCUAAAACUCAAAGGAAUUGACGGGGGCCCGCACAAGCGGUGGAUUAUGUGGUUUAAUUCGAAGCAACGCGCAGAACCUUACCUAGGCUUGAAAUCCUUCGAAUCCGAUGUAAUGGUCGGAGUGCCCGCAAGGGAAUGAAGUGACAGGUGCUGCAUGGCUGUCGUCAGCUCGUGCCG
This 296-nucleotide ribosomal RNA is filed under the name uncultured bacterium. Its description in RNAcentral is "partial 16S ribosomal RNA". It matches the Rfam family "Bacterial small subunit ribosomal RNA", at positions 775 to 1067 of the family's 1533-position model. The record is from RNAcentral.